Molecule: transfer RNA, 73 nt
Filed under: Oryza punctata
Lineage: Eukaryota; Viridiplantae; Streptophyta; Magnoliopsida; Poales; Poaceae
Rfam family: tRNA
About the family: Transfer RNA (tRNA) molecules are approximately 80 nucleotides in length. Their secondary structure includes four short double-helical elements and three loops (D, anti-codon, and T loops).
Source: Rfam by way of RNAcentral
GCCUCCAUGGCCCAAUGGAUAAGGCGCUGGUCUACGGAACCAGAGAUUCUGGGUUCUAUCCCUAGUGGAGUCG